Molecule: ribosomal RNA, 543 nt
Filed under: Escherichia coli
Lineage: Bacteria; Pseudomonadati; Pseudomonadota; Gammaproteobacteria; Enterobacterales; Enterobacteriaceae
Description: bacterial SSU rRNA
Rfam family: Bacterial small subunit ribosomal RNA
Source: RNAcentral
AAAUUGAAGAGUUUGAUCAUGGCUCAGAUUGAACGCUGGCGGCAGGCCUAACACAUGCAAGUCGAACGGUAACAGGAAGAAGCUUGCUUCUUUGCUGACGAGUGGCGGACGGGUGAGUAAUGUCUGGGAAACUGCCUGAUGGAGGGGGAUAACUACUGGAAACGGUAGCUAAUACCGCAUAACGUCGCAAGACCAAAGAGGGGGACCUUCGGGCCUCUUGCCAUCGGAUGUGCCCAGAUGGGAUUAGCUUGUUGGUGGGGUAACGGCUCACCAAGGCGACGAUCCCUAGCUGGUCUGAGAGGAUGACCAGCCACACUGGAACUGAGACACGGUCCAGACUCCUACGGGAGGCAGCAGUGGGGAAUAUUGCACAAUGGGCGCAAGCCUGAUGCAGCCAUGCCGCGUGUAUGAAGAAGGCCUUCGGGUUGUAAAGUACUUUCAGCGGGGAGGAAGGGAGUAAAGUUAAUACCUUUGCUCAUUGACGUUACCCGCAGAAGAAGCACCGGCUAACUCCGUGCCAGCAGCCGCGGUAAUACGGAGGGU